CCCUCGGUCGUCUAGUUGGUUUAUGGCGUCCGGCUGUAAUGUGAUCGCUACCGGAAUGUCGCGCGUUCGACUCGCGCCUGAGGGA
Molecule: transfer RNA, 85 nt
Filed under: Blumeria hordei DH14
Lineage: Eukaryota; Fungi; Ascomycota; Leotiomycetes; Helotiales; Erysiphaceae
Description: tRNA-Tyr for anticodon GUA
Source: RNAcentral